AUCAACCAAUCCAUCUCCAGUCUUUUUCAUCGGGACAGUACCCUCCAGUGUCCUUUUCGGUCCCCAACUGCCAGUGGCUACAGGUGGAGUAGUACCGUCAGAAGUGGGCCCUGGUCCAGCAGACUGUGGUGAAGUUGAGUCCAGGCCUUUUAUGUCUGAUGGAAGUGAGUCAGACAGAAGAAAAGAUGACGAUAAGGCCAAAGUCAAAGGUAGACCCUGGAAGUCAACAUCGACGGGCUCAAACAGGGAAUUCAACACUGCAAAACUAGAUCCGGGAAGUCUUUGCGAGGGCUGCGGGAGAUGCUGCACUGCUGUGUCCACGUCUAGCUGUUGUCUUUCCUUGACAUUUUCUCCAGUUGAGGCUACAGCAUGAAGCGAGAGAGGCAAGGAGAGGGGGAGGAGGAGAUACAGAUUCCACAGAGAGAGCAUGACAGUAGACACAUGGGACAGACCCCACCUCCUUCCAACAACCCCCCGCUGUCCCACUGCACCGAUCCGAAUGUGAGUUUGACUGUUUGCACGAUCCUGUCCUCCUAAAUCUGACACACCACACCGACAAUCGUCUAUUUGAUGGUUGCAUUGGAUCCUUACAGUCUCCACAUGCACUCAAAGAGAAGAGAAGAGAAGAAAAGAGAAAAGUAGAGAAAUAUGUCACAGGGGCGUUGGAGGGCUCAUCAACCAACAGGCACGCAUGCACUGAACUAAACAGUGCUAUAGAUCAAUACAUGCUGCCACUGAGUGUAAUUUACAACUGAUGAUGUGUCCUCCCUUCCAGAGCAGCCAUAACAUCAGCAGCUCUGUUUGCAACAUGUCACAGCAGAGGAUGAUGCAGAAUACUCUCUUUGAAUAGCAUUCAUGGAUAAUGCACGAUAGUGGUUACUUGUGUACGUAUGAACAUACAGCACCUCUAAACAUAUAGCACAUGCACUUUUUUUAGCAAGAAACUGCUAAACUGUGACCUUGUUUCCAAGUCAGUUAUUAGGGCAAAUGUUGCCACCAGCGAUCUCUGUCUGAUGAGGACAUGUUAGUCACUUUCUUUAUUUUCCACCUUCCAACGUUAUCAGACUUGUUCACACUGUUUUUACCCAAUAGGGGGAAUCUAGUAGCCUCAUGGCCUAAUUCAAUUCCCAGGGAUGGUUCUAAAAUAGACGCUGAUCCACAUACCUUUGGAUGCAUUUAGUGAAGGUGUUUAAAGCACAGUCACACAUUGUGUACAUUUUGUUGUAAGGAACUGAAAAGUUAUGUUAAGCCGGGGUUAUUGUGUUUGAAUUCUGCCAAAUGCAUAUUGAUUCUUUUUCUAUCAAAAAAAGUAUUGAUUUGACUGCCUCACAAAAAAAACUGUCCAAAUAUUUAUUGUAAAACUCACAUUCAUAAAGGCUUAUUCUGAAUACAUAGAAUAUUGACAGCAAAUAAAAAGUCAUUUAUAACACUGUGAUUCCCAUAGUCUGAAAGUCAAGGCUAUUUCAGAUCAGUCAGUGGUGAAGACAGCAACUUCCAGAGGGGGGUGAACAACCUGAUGUCUGAUGAGGACACAGGAAAGCAUCAACCGAGCCGUAACUAAAGGGACUGGAAAGGAACAAUGACAGGCCAAACAUAUGAGCUCAGUGAGCGACGUGGCCAAAUUAUUGCCGCCUCACACUCGCUAUCCUAACUCAUUGGGCAACUGGUCUCUGUUUAGACAAGUCAUCCUCCAACAAGACAAAGUCAGCAGGGACCGGGGUCCAGCUGGGAAUGUAGACAAUCAGGACAAGACACAGAAACAAAGCUGCACAAGCAAAGAGGGGGAUAAAAGCAAGCCAUGACCCUGGUUAGGAUAAAGAGUGUAGAUGAGUUUUAUGAUGAGUCCUGAGGUGCAGAGCUUAACACUCAGGCCUCAAGGAGGUUCUGGCCUCCAACCUGUGUGCUGAGGCCUUUCUGUGUUGAUUUUGCAUGUUCAAAUCUAAAUUACCCAUAGAUGUGAUCGUGAGCAUGAAUUUCAGUCAGUGUAGAAUACAAGGUAAGAUGAACUUCAUUGAACCCACGUCGGGGAAAUGCACUUGUUAUAGCAGCAGUUAGUCAGAAUGAGGUAAACACGAGAACGUGUGAAGGUAUAAAAUAGAGUAAAAUAGGCCUUAACAAUAGAAUAAAAAUACAGUGAAUAUGUACAUACUAUAUAACAGGCAAGAAACCUAUUCGAAGAUUCUCGAGGAUGUGUACUGUAUUUAUGCAUUGUGUAAAAGGAGAUAUUGAAAUAAACAUAUACAUAUAUGCAUUCAUAAA
This is a long non-coding RNA of Hippoglossus stenolepis (Pacific halibut), 2259 nucleotides long. RefSeq lists it as uncharacterized. Lineage: Eukaryota; Metazoa; Chordata; Actinopteri; Pleuronectiformes; Pleuronectidae. The transcript is spliced from 3 exons. The record is from RefSeq and is a predicted model, not a curated record.